UAAGGAAUAUUGGUCAAUGGACGCAAGUCUGAACCAGCCAUGCCGCGUGAAGGAUGAAGGUCCUCUGGAUUGUCAACUUCUUUUAUCUGGGACGAAAACGGGAUUUUUAUCUCAAUUGACGGUACCAGAGGAAUAAGCACCGGCUAACUCCGUGCCAGCAGCCGCGGUAAUACGGAGGGUGCGAGCGUUAUCCGGAUUUACUGGGUUUAAAGGGUGCGUAGGUGGGCUUAUAAGUCAGUGGUGAAAUCUCCGAGCUUAACUUGGAAACUGCCGUUGAUACUAUAGGUCUUGAAUUAUCUGGAGGUAAGCGGAAUAUGUCAUGUAGCGGUGAAAUGCUUAGAUAUGACAUAGAACACCAAUUGCGAAGGCAGCUUACUACAUAUAAAUUGACGCUGAGGCACGAAAGCGUGGGGAUCAAACA
RNAcentral lists this ribosomal RNA (421 nucleotides) under uncultured bacterium. RNAcentral's name for it is "bacterial SSU rRNA". It matches the Rfam family "Bacterial small subunit ribosomal RNA", at positions 355 to 774 of the family's 1533-position model. The record is from RNAcentral.